UACGUAGGGUGCAAGCGUUGUCCGGAAUUAUUGGGUGUAAAGAGCUCGUAGGUGGCUUGUUGCGUCUGCCGUGAAAGCCCGUGGCUUAACUACGGGUCUGCGGUGGAUACGGGCAGGCUAGAGGCUGGUAGGGGCAAGCGGAAUUCCUGGUGUAGCGGUGAAAUGCGCAGAUAUCAGGAGGAACACCGGUGGCGAAGGCGGCUUGCUGGGCCAGUUCUGACGCUGAGGAGCGGAAGCGUGGGGAGCGAACAGG
This 253-nucleotide ribosomal RNA is filed under the name uncultured bacterium. Its description in RNAcentral is "partial 16S ribosomal RNA". It matches the Rfam family "Bacterial small subunit ribosomal RNA", at positions 524 to 776 of the family's 1533-position model. The record is from RNAcentral.